AAAUAUGUUGAACACAUAUGCUCUUCACAUUUGCAAGGUACACUAAUAUGAAGUCAAAAUCCUAGGACUCGCAUGUUUUUCCCUUUACCUCAACAAACUUGUAUUUUUUUACUUCGAUUUCAAAGACCCUGAUUUUUUUAGAAAUAAGGGGUUCUAGCAUCAGUACUACCCCGUAUAAUCAAAUUCCGAACGUUCGGCAUCUAUCAUUUUCAAAUACAAUUUGGG
Molecule: long non-coding RNA, 225 nt
Filed under: Hordeum vulgare
Lineage: Eukaryota; Viridiplantae; Streptophyta; Magnoliopsida; Poales; Poaceae
Description: long non-coding RNA (HVUL_LNC013623)
Source: RNAcentral